UGUUUUCGGGUGUCUGUGAACUUAUUAUGAUUUUAGGCAGCCUCUCUUCUAAUGGGUGGGGUGGUGUUCCUGUCUUGCUAGUUGUUUGACAUAGGUUGUCUAGCACUGUAGCCUGCUGUUUAUUGAAUGGAGCUGGG
Molecule: long non-coding RNA, 137 nt
Organism: Aethalodelphis obliquidens (Pacific white-sided dolphin)
Lineage: Eukaryota; Metazoa; Chordata; Mammalia; Artiodactyla; Delphinidae
Exons: 3
Source: RefSeq, a predicted model, not a curated record